CCCCUAGAUGUUCUGGGCCGCACGCGCGCUACACUGAACAGUUCAACAAGUCUUAACCUUGGCCGAUAGGUCUGGGUAAUCUUUGAACGCUGUUCGUGAUUGGGAUAGACCUUUGCAAUUAUGGGUCUUCAACGAGGAAUUCCUAGUAAACGCAAGUCAUCAGCUUGCAUUGAUUACGUCCCUGCCCUUUGUACACACCGCCCGUCGCACCUACCGAUUGAAUGGUCCGGUGAAAUCUCGGGACGGCGGCUUGGUCGCUUGCGUCCGACUGCUGAAACUUGAUUAAACCAUAUCAUUUAGAGGAAGGUGAAGUUGUANCA
RNAcentral lists this ribosomal RNA (320 nucleotides) under uncultured eukaryote. Its description in RNAcentral is "partial 18S ribosomal RNA". It matches the Rfam family "Eukaryotic small subunit ribosomal RNA", at positions 1470 to 1796 of the family's 1831-position model. The record is from RNAcentral.